This 411-nucleotide ribosomal RNA is filed under the name uncultured bacterium. RNAcentral describes it as "bacterial SSU rRNA". It matches the Rfam family "Bacterial small subunit ribosomal RNA", at positions 505 to 916 of the family's 1533-position model. The record is from RNAcentral.
GUGCCAGCCGCCGCGGUAAUACGUAGGGUGCAAGCGUUAAUCGGAAUUACUGGGCGUAAAGCGUGCGCAGGCGGUUAUAUAAGUCAGAUGUGAAAUCCCCGGGCUCAACCUGGGACCUGCAUUUGAGACUGUAUAGCUAGAGUACGGUAGAGGGGGAUGGAAUUCCGCGUGUAGCAGUGAAAUGCGUAGAUAUGCGGAGGAACACCGAUGGCGAAGGCAAUCCCCUGGACCUGUACUGACGCUCAUGCACGAAAGCGUGGGGAGCAAACAGGAUUAGAUACCCUGGUAGUCCACGCCCUAAACGAUGUCAACUGGUUGUUGGGUCUUCACUGACUCAGUAACGAAGCUAACGCGUGAAGUUGACCGCCUGGGGAGUACGGCCGCAAGGUUGAAACUCAAAUAAAUUGACGG